Molecule: long non-coding RNA, 945 nt
Organism: Poecilia latipinna (sailfin molly)
Lineage: Eukaryota; Metazoa; Chordata; Actinopteri; Cyprinodontiformes; Poeciliidae
Exons: 3
Source: RefSeq, a predicted model, not a curated record
UUUUCAAGCUUAUGUUCGAUGCCGUUUGUGUAGUUAGACUUAAGAUGUUAUUUGAUUGCACCUUAAUUUUUGUACGUUGUUCUGCUUUGUACCUCCUGCAUAGGUAACUUUGCAUAACUGUGUUAAAGCUUCCUUUAAUUCCUUUUUUUUUCUUGAAGCAAAAGUAUUCCAGUUGCUAAUUUAAAACCAACGCUGUCUCUUCUGAUUGUAGAGCACACAUAAAGCAAUUAAUCCAUCUGUAAAUAGAUAUUGUGGUGCAAUUUAACUUAGCCAGUUUUGAUUUGUGUCACUAGAAACCGACAGCAUGAGUUGUCUCGUGAUAAGUCAGUUAUGCUCAGUCAGAGAAACUGAGAGGACAAGAGACAAGAGUUCACUGCUGAUAGUGACUGUCUGAGGGAAAGGGAAGAUUAUCUCACCAACCCAGCCACAGGAACCAGGUACAUCAGUUUUCUUAUAAACUGCGGGUGACUUCCCUCCAAAUUCACAUGUCUACCGCCCAUCUGAAACUUUCAGUGGUUAGUGGAACUACAAUGUCUCACUGUUUUUCCUCUAAUGAAACUAGAAGUUGUUUGCUAACGAUUUUCUUUUCCUCAAAACGGUUUGCAGUGGGGUAACUUGAUGUUGCCUAUCGCGUUGAGUGAAAAAAACAAUCAUUUAUGCUCUUGAGGUCUCAAAACAUUACUCCAAAGGUUUUGAAUAAGGCUAAAAUAUAUGUUAUUGUUCAUUUCUGACAUUUUAUGUGUUGGCUUGAGUCCCUAAUUCAUAAAAGAGAAACCUACAUGGUGAUGGCUUCAUACUAAAAUGAUUCUGAAUCAGUGGUUUUGGUUGUAUAUAGCACAUGCCUGAUGUCUGUAUAAAAAUUGAAUGGAAUAUUUGAGUGAUUUAUUGUUGAAGGUUUGUCAAUCUUAUUACAUCAGCUGAAAACAAUAAAAAGGCUCUCAAAAA